This 495-nucleotide ribosomal RNA is filed under the name Pseudomonas sp. Its description in RNAcentral is "bacterial SSU rRNA". It matches the Rfam family "Bacterial small subunit ribosomal RNA", at positions 20 to 510 of the family's 1533-position model. The record is from RNAcentral. Lineage: Bacteria; Pseudomonadati; Pseudomonadota; Gammaproteobacteria; Pseudomonadales; Pseudomonadaceae.
UGGCUCAGAUUGAACGCUGGCGGCAGGCCUAACACAUGCAAGUCGAGCGGUAGAGAGGUGCUUGCACCUCUUGAGAGCGGCGGACGGGUGAGUAAAGCCUAGGAAUCUGCCUGGUAGUGGGGGAUAACGCUCGGAAACGGACGCUAAUACCGCAUACGUCCUACGGGAGAAAGCAGGGGACCUUCGGGCCUUGCGCUAUCAGAUGAGCCUAGGUCGGAUUAGCUAGUUGGUGAGGUAAUGGCUCACCAAGGCGACGAUCCGUAACUGGUCUGAGAGGAUGAUCAGUCACACUGGAACUGAGACACGGUCCAGACUCCUACGGGAGGCAGCAGUGGGGAAUAUUGGACAAUGGGCGAAAGCCUGAUCCAGCCAUGCCGCGUGUGUGAAGAAGGUCUUCGGAUUGUAAAGCACUUUAAGUUGGGAGGAAGGGCAUUAACCUAAUACGUUAGUGUUUUGACGUUACCGACAGAAUAAGCACCGGCUAACUCUGUGCCA